Long non-coding RNA from Canis lupus familiaris (dog), 480 nucleotides. RefSeq lists it as uncharacterized. The transcript is spliced from 3 exons. The record is from RefSeq and is a predicted model, not a curated record. NCBI's taxonomy places the organism in Eukaryota, Metazoa, Chordata, Mammalia, Carnivora, Canidae.
UUAAGAUGGAUUAAGAUACUCUUUCCAAGAGUAUAAGCAAUUUUGCACUUGGACAUUUGGGAUGAACACCCCUUCCUCUGACACGCACAGUCUCAUCUGUUACUAGCAAUGACCACCUGAAUCUUCAGUUGGUUCUCCUCAAGCAGGGCUAGAGCCUAAUCUCCAUGGAUUGGUUGGAAGUAUUUUCCACGAUGCUACUUCAUACCAUCUGGGAGGUGCCUGGUACCCAAAGGUGAAGCUGUUUCCCACUUGGAAACCUCUGGAAAGCCAAAGAGUGCCCAUCUGACUGCUCUUGCAAACUGCUAACCUUGACAGUGUGCUAGCAGAGAUGAUUCCAGGCACAAGUGACGACUUGAAUUGGCAUCUCUACAUCCAGACACCCUGGAAGGACAAAAGUGAUGCUCCAAAGCACGACAAAAUAUGAAGACAUGAGAUUGUGUGAAAUCACUUGUAUACACAUGGAGCAUAUGUUAUGGUGGC